Long non-coding RNA from Prosopis cineraria, 1585 nucleotides. RefSeq lists it as uncharacterized. The transcript is spliced from 2 exons. The record is from RefSeq and is a predicted model, not a curated record. Lineage: Eukaryota; Viridiplantae; Streptophyta; Magnoliopsida; Fabales; Fabaceae.
UCUUUUCCAUUUUGAGUGUAGCAAAUCACACCCUACUUUCCGACAGAGAUGAGCCGUAUCUGGAGUUCGUGCGUGCAUCUAAGCCCAUCACGGCCCUUCUUUUUCCAAUCGAACGGUUGUUUUAGAUUCACGCACGAACUCUCGAUUCGUCUCCUCCAUCACACCCAAAAAUCUCCCCCCUCCCUGGUUUCCCGCCGAAUCCGGAGACAAGGAGUAUACGAAAAUUGGCGGAAGCAGCUUAGAAGUUGAUGUGCGAGUGUUGGUAUCGACGGAUUCGAGUUUGGCGGAACAUUUUCGGUUAAAUUGUUGGAAAUACUCAAAUAGUUUUCCCGUCAAAUCUGGAGAUACCGAUAAUAAAUUUCUUCGAGAAAUCGAAAAAUACGGCUCAGACGGCGGAAGGUUGGUGCUGAGGAUUUUUGUUGAGAUUCCAGGUUUUGCAGUUUGGUUCUGAUUUGAGAAAAGAUCUGAUAGAUGACUCUGAGAUUCUGUUCAUUUAUCGUGGCUUUCACUUUUUCCGAAUGAUUGAAUCAAAGGAGAGGUAAUUAUGCGAUUUCAGGUUCGUUUAUUAAGUUACUCAUAUUGGCUAAAUUGUCGAAAAUCUGUGCUUUUUUCUGCACAGAUUCACUGGUUUUUUUUUAGUUUUAAUUUACUUGCCAAGAGGAUUAUCAGUGGAACUACCUGGAAUUGGGAUUUAAUUUUCAAUGCGGCUAUGUAUGAGAUGCUUUCGUGUAGUUUUCCUUUGUUACACUAUGUUCCAUUAGAGUGGAGGGGAAAGGAGGGAUUUUAAUGAAGGAUGAGAGGGAGGAAUCCCUUCAAAUCCCCUCAAUCCGGAGGGGAGGGUUGAGAGGGGAGGGGAGGGAACCAAAAUGUUUCAUCUCAAUAGAAUAGAGUGCGCAGUUAUUAUUGUCUGAAGAUUCUUCAGAAAUAUAUUGUGACCAAAGUCUUUUCUUUCUGUUUAAGGGAAUAGUUCUUUGGUUUAUGCUGGAACUACUGUUUGUUGGAGCUCUGUGAAAUGGAUUUAAUUCUGUUUAAUGUUGUGUUAACCGUUAGUCUUAGUCUCAAUAUUUGGAGUGGCUAUAUCGGUCCUUAACCAGAUACAAGUGUAGAGUUCCUUAUUCGAGCCCUUCUCUCAGAUCAUACUUGUUUUGUACUGAACUUUUCGCCAUUUUCUUUUCUUUCUUUUUUGGGGGUCAUUGUUCCUUCCUACAUGGCUAGCAGGGGCUGAAGGUACAGCUAGACUUUUCUAACUUUUGUGUUUCUGUAUCAAUAUUAUAUAGAGUCCUUUACUCAUUGCCAGGAUUAGAUUAAAUUUUUUGUUUUUUAAUCGUUAUGAUUAGUUUCCUUUGCUGAUUGACAAAACUUUAUCCACCGUAGAAACAUGAACUCGUUAACUGGCCGGGGAUGCGAGGAUUAAGGAAGUGAUAAAAACUCAUCAAAAUGAGCGUAUCACGGACUUUUAAGCAUGCUUGCACAGUGUAGGAUGUGCAAUUACAUUGUAUUUUUUAUUUUCUUUCACUAGAUGGAACGUUUGUACUUUAUUCAAAGUUUCUUUCUGUAAAUAUUAUUGUAGUAUUUAUUCUCCUUA